AUGAUCACCUACAUGUGCCCUGGAGGGGACGGGCCUGUAAAACCCUUUUUAGAAAAGAUGAGCAGGGCAUAUGAGUACAUUAUUAAAAAUUCUCAAAGGAUGCAAUUGCCAGAAGCUCCCAGCCCAUCUCCAACUCCACAGUCUACCACCUCUCCCUCCCAACCCUCUUCUCCUACUCAUCCUCCAGACCCUUCCACCUUUCUCCCAUCUACUUCUCAUCCCCAAAUGGACUAUGAGGAGGAGACUUACACCCUAACCCUCAUCCCUGUCCAGCCUCCAAGCACCGCCUCAGCAUCUCUCCCUCAAAACACCAUGACUGAAAGUGAGUAUUAGCAUUAAUCACCAUUUAUAUAUAUAUAUAUUUUUUUUUUUUUUGGGGGGCUUUUUAUUGCCUUUAUUAUAGUGACAGCUGAAGACAGACAGGAGAGGGGGGCAGAGAGAGAGGAUGACACGCAGCAAAGGGCCGCGGGUUGGAUUUGUACCCUGGGCCGCUGCAGCAAGGCGUCGGUAAAUGGGCCGCCAGCUCUACUCACUGAGCUAUUCGGGCGCCCAGAAUUAAUCACCUUUUGCCAUGUUUUAAGUAAUGUGUCUAAAGUCAUCCACCUUUGUCACAGGUGUGUCUGCACAAUGCUAACCAAUGCAUGCAAUUCCUUGACAGCCGCAUGAUCAUAUUUUUUGUGUGCAUGUAGACACAAUAAACCAGACACAUGCAGAGCGAUGCAAACUGUUUUUUUUCCCUUAAUACCUCUUAUUAUCAGAAAUGUGAGGGACCUAGCAGUUAGGCAAGAGGAGUCACAAGAGAAUUUUAAAAGAAAAAGUUUUCAUUUGACCAAAAAAAAGAUGUUUGCAACAAAAUGUAUGUGUCUGAAACGGUAUAUAAACCAAUCUUAAGGAAAAACAGCAUGAACUAAGGAAAGUGUAAGUGUACGAGGUUACCGCUUUUGAGAUGGCUGUGUGGCCAUGGCUGUGGCCAUCACAAGUAACAAUAAAAAUUACUCACACUAAAGAUUACUCACUUACUUGUCCUCCUCUACAUGUAUAAGAGACAUAAGUAGCUACGCUACUCAUAACAGAGGAUAUGAAGCUAUGUUCUUGACAAGUCUGUACUUCUACUAAGUCAAUUGACCACAGCAUGGUGUUGUCAUUUUUGAGUGAAUAAAAAAAACUGUGGUAACUAUUAAUGAUAGAUUGGCUAUUUAAAAAUCUAGGCUUUAUGCAAGACGUCAACUGUCGUGUGACUAAUGAGUGGUUUGCAGUAAUGUCACACCACCUUUUUGUAUCAGCUCAGCUAGCUUUGGACCUUCACCAAGGUGUACCAGGUACUAGACGCAAUAAAAAUCAAAGAACAGUAAAUAGGUGAGAUAUCAUGAUCAAGAAGGUGGUUCACCCAGGACGAAGCUCAGCGAUUGCUUCGGUUGUGCUGACACCUGUGAAUUCCCCAAAUGUGGGAAUCUUGAUACCGGAAAUGCAGCUGUAUUCACCUGGGGGAUGUCAAAGUCUGUUUCUAAAUUGCUUCUCCUUUCUUCUUUUCUUCUUUUGUUUUGCAUAAUUUUAGGCUGCCAAAAAUGUUCUAAGCAUAAAAUAUUUCACUACAAUGAAAUCAAAGAGAAACAACUCAAGUACGUAAGAUGUAACUGACUGAGUGAAAUAGCAGUUCAUUUAGCAGUGGUUGCUGGAAUGGCUAACACUUCUUUUUGUCUGUGUUUGUCUGUUUCUGUGUGUGUGUGCAGGGAAGAGAAGAGGUAAAAGUGAGCUGGCUGCCUUGUUCCUCAUGGUAAGAGCUCAGAACUUUGAUUCACAUUAACU
Long non-coding RNA from Dicentrarchus labrax (European seabass), 1806 nucleotides. Lineage: Eukaryota; Metazoa; Chordata; Actinopteri; Moronidae. The record is from Ensembl.